CGUGUAGGCGGCUCGAUAAGUCGAAUGUGAAAGCCCGAGGCUCAACCUCGGAAGCGCAUUCGAAACUGUCGGGCUUGAGUACGGGAGAGGGAAGUGGAAUUCCUGGUGUAGAGGUGAAAUUCGUAGAUAUCAGGAGGAACACCGGUGGCGAAGGCGGCUUCCUGGACCGAUACUGACGCUGAGACGCGAAAGCGUGGGGAGCAAACA
This 207-nucleotide ribosomal RNA is filed under the name uncultured delta proteobacterium. Its description in RNAcentral is "partial 16S ribosomal RNA". It matches the Rfam family "Bacterial small subunit ribosomal RNA", at positions 568 to 774 of the family's 1533-position model. The record is from RNAcentral. Lineage: Bacteria; Deltaproteobacteria.